RNAcentral lists this ribosomal RNA (730 nucleotides) under uncultured bacterium. RNAcentral's name for it is "bacterial SSU rRNA". It matches the Rfam family "Bacterial small subunit ribosomal RNA", at positions 771 to 1501 of the family's 1533-position model. The record is from RNAcentral.
AACAGGAUUAGAUACCCUGGUAGUCCACGCCGUAAACGAUGUCGACUUGGAGGUUGUGCCCUUGAGGCGUGGCUUCCGGAGCUAACGCGUUAAGUCGACCGCCUGGGGAGUACGGCCGCAAGGUUAAAACUCAAAUGAAUUGACGGGGGCCCGCACAAGCGGUGGAGCAUGUGGUUUAAUUCGAUGCAACGCGAAGAACCUCACCUGGUCUUGACAUCCACGGAAGUUUUCAGAGAUGAGAGUGUGCCUUCGGGAACCGUGAGACAGGUGCUGCAUGGCUGUCGUCAGCUCGUGUUGUGAAAUGUUGGGUUAAGUCCCGCAACGAGCGCAACCCUUAUCCUUUGUUGCCAGCGGUCCGGCCGGGAACUCAAAGGAGACUGUUAGUGAUAAACUGGAGGAAGGUGGGGAUGACGUCAAGUCAUCAUGGCCCUUACGACCAGGGCUACACACGUGCUACAAUGGCGCAUACAAAGAGAAGCGACCUCGCGAGAGCAAGCGGACCUCAUAAAGUGCGUCGUAGUCCGGAUUGGAGUCUGCAACUCGACUCCAUGAAGUCGGAAUCGCUAGUAAUCGUGGAUCAGAAUGCCACGGUGAAUACGUUCCCGGGCCUUGUACACACCGCCCGUCACACCAUGGGAGUGGGUUGCAAAAGAAGUAGGUAGCUUAACCUUCGGGAGGGCGCUUACCACUUUGUGAUUCAUGACUGGGGUGAAGUCGUAACAAGGUAACC